RNAcentral lists this ribosomal RNA (497 nucleotides) under uncultured bacterium. Its description in RNAcentral is "partial 16S ribosomal RNA". It matches the Rfam family "Bacterial small subunit ribosomal RNA", at positions 28 to 507 of the family's 1533-position model. The record is from RNAcentral.
GAUGAACGCUGGCGGCGUGCCUAAUACAUGCAAGUCGAGCGAACAGAUGAGGAGCUUGCUCCUCUGACGUUAGCGGCGGACGGGUGAGUAACACGUGGAUAACCUACCUAUAAGACUGGGAUAACUUCGGGAAACCGGAGCUAAUACCGGAUAAUAUAUUGAACUGCAUGGUUCAAUAGUGAAAGACGGUUUUGCUGUCACUUAUAGAUGGAUCCGCGCCGCAUUAGCUAGUUGGUAAGGUAACGGCUUACCAAGGCAACGAUGCGUAGCCGACCUGAGAGGGUGAUCGGCCACACUGGAACUGAGACACGGUCCAGACUCCUACGGGAGGCAGCAGUAGGGAAUCUUCCGCUAUGGGCGAAAGCCUGACGGAGCAACGCCGCGUGAGUGAUGAAGGUCUUCGGAUCGUAAAACUCUGUUAUUAGGGAAGAACAAAUGUGUAAGUAACUAUGCACGUCUUGACGGUACCUAAUCAGAAAGCCACGGCUAACUACGUG